UUGUCAAGCACCUACUUAAUCAGGCAAUCCAUCGUAAGCUGCAGAUUGUGCUGAUUAAUAAUUGAUUUGGAAGUACUUGCUUACAUGAUUUUUAAGUUAUUAGACUAAGAGAUCAUUAAUGGAGUAGUGGCUUAGUGGGUGACAUGCAUGUUGUUAAAAUAUUGCAGGGAUUAACCAUAUCUGAUAUCUGGUCCGACAAUGUCUAAAGGCGUUCUCCUCAAGGGGAAGACUCGGCUUGGGGCCCUCUAGCUAGGCUAGCUCCAUAUGGAAGAAUUAGGCAUUUGAUUUUCGUCCUCAUGUUCCCAGCUUCGAUCGUUCUGAACUAGGAAAUUAUGUUCUCGAUUAAUCAUCUGCGUUUUGUUUAUGAUGAAGCUGAUUACCAGCUGGUGAAGCCUUUACUCUCACCUUUUGCCAAAUGCAGUGGAGGGGAUAUGGUUUUCCUAACCAGCUUUGCUUGCCCUUGUCUUAAGCAGCAAGAAAGGGCUAGGCUUAAGCUGGAUUUACUUUGAUGUAUAUAUAGUAAAUUAAAUGCAGACUGCAAACAUGAACAACAAAGCAUAAUCAAAGGGAUUUCUUUUGUUAGAACACAGGUCUGAAGAACAAAGCAUAUUAGUAUAUUCUUUCAUGUUUAUGUUACCUGACAUAAACAAAC
This 652-nucleotide long non-coding RNA is filed under the name Theobroma cacao (cacao). RNAcentral's name for it is "long non-coding RNA (TCAC_LNC005043)". The record is from RNAcentral. Lineage: Eukaryota; Viridiplantae; Streptophyta; Magnoliopsida; Malvales; Malvaceae.